GACGAACGCUGGCGGCGUGCCUAAUACAUGCAAGUCGAACGAGAGCAACCGGUGCUUGCACUGGUCAAUCUAGUGGCGAACGGGUGGGUAACACGUGGGUAACCUGCCCAUCAGAGGGGGAUAACAUCCGGAAACGGAUGCUAAAACCGCAUAGGUCUUCGAACCGCAUGGUUUGAAGAGGAAAAGAGGCGCAAGCUUCUGCUGAUGGAUGGACCCGCGGUGCAUUAGCUAGUUGGUGAGGUAACGGCUCACCAAGGCCGUGAUGCAUAGCCGACCUGAGAGGGUGAUCGGCCACAUUGGGACUGAGACACGGCCCAAACUCCUACGGGAGGCAGCAGUAGGGAAUCUUCCGCAAAGGACGCAAGUCUGACGGAGCAACGCCGCGUGAGUGAAGAAGGUUUUCGGAUCGUAAAACUCUGUUGUUAGAGAAGAACAAGUGCUAGAGUAACUGUUAGCGCCUUGACGGUAUCUAACCAGAAAGCCACGGCUAACUACGUG
Molecule: ribosomal RNA, 498 nt
Filed under: uncultured bacterium
Lineage: Bacteria
Description: partial 16S ribosomal RNA
Rfam family: Bacterial small subunit ribosomal RNA
Source: RNAcentral